GACGAACGCUGGCGGCGUGCUUAACACAUGCAAGUCGAACGAAGAGCGAUGGAAGCUUGCUUCUAUCAAACUUAGUGACGGACGGGUGAGUAACGCGUAAUCAACCUGCCCUUCAGAGGGGGACAACAGUUGGUAACGACUGCUAAUACUGCAUACGAUCUAAUCUCGGCAUCGAGGGUAGAUGAACGGUGGCCUCUACAGGUAAGCUAUCACAGAAGGUGGUGGGUGCGUCUGAUGAGCUAGGUGGAGUGGUAAGGUAGCACGUAGGCGAUGAUCAGUAGCCGGUCUGAGAGGAUGAACGGCCAGACUGAGAGGGUGACACGGCCCAGUGUGCUAGGGGAGGCAGCAGUGGGGAAUCUUGCGCAAGCGACGAGAGUCUGACGGAGCAACGCCGCAUGAGGGAGGACGGCCGUCGGGUUGGAAAGGUCUGUUAAUCGGGAGGAAAGGCCUUCUGGCUAAUAGGGAGAAGGAUUGACGGUAACGGAAAAGAAAGCCACGGCUAACUACGUG
Molecule: ribosomal RNA, 510 nt
Filed under: uncultured bacterium
Lineage: Bacteria
Description: partial 16S ribosomal RNA
Rfam family: Bacterial small subunit ribosomal RNA
Source: RNAcentral